GACGAACGCUGGCGGCGUGCUUAACACAUGCAAGUCGAACGGAAAGGCCCUGCUUUUGUGGGGUGCUCGAGUGGCGAACGGGUGAGUAACACGUGAGUAACCUGCCCUUGACUUUGGGAUAACUUCAGGAAACUGGGGCUAAUACCGGAUAGGAGCUCCUGCUGCAUGGUGGGGGUUGGAAAGUUUCGGCGGUUGGGGAUGGACGCGCGGCUUAUCAGCUUGUUGGUGGGGUAGUGGCUUACCAAGCCUUUGACGGGUAGCCGGCCUGAGAGGGUGACCGGCCACAUUGGGACUGAGAUACGGACCAGACUCCUACGGGAGGCAGCAGUGGGGAAUAUUGCACAAUGGGCGGAAGCCUGAUGCAGCAACGCCGCGUGCGGGAUGACGGCCUUCGGGUUGUAAACCGCUUUCGCCUGUGACGAAGCGUGAGUGACGGUAAUGGGUAAAGAAGCACCGGCUAACUACGUG
Molecule: ribosomal RNA, 468 nt
Filed under: uncultured bacterium
Lineage: Bacteria
Description: partial 16S ribosomal RNA
Rfam family: Bacterial small subunit ribosomal RNA
Source: RNAcentral